Molecule: long non-coding RNA, 1389 nt
Filed under: Arabidopsis lyrata
Lineage: Eukaryota; Viridiplantae; Streptophyta; Magnoliopsida; Brassicales; Brassicaceae
Description: long non-coding RNA (ALYR_LNC001655)
Source: RNAcentral
UUUUUUCCUUGUCGUAGAUGAACAUGUCGAGGUAAAACAAAAAGGACCCUACUCUCUCUCAAACGAGCCCACCGCCGUGUCUCCACCGACUGCGUGUUUUCCGGCAUCGUUGGUCCUCCGGUGUUCAUCUGGGCGACGAUUGAAGACUGAAUCAAUAGGUACGUUGCUCUACUCUUUUUUGUGAUUGAAAUUAUGUCUUUUUCUCAUCUCAAGUCACAAUUUUUGUUACUCGUUUAGAGAUUUGCGUUCAUAUAAACACAAAUUAGAUUUGAGACUUGUAAAUCGAUGUGAAUCUUUUUGUUCUCUCGAUUUAGUUGCAAGUCACAAUUUCAAUUUGCAUGUAGAGUUGUUAAUAUCUUUGAAUUCGUGAAAUUCGAUUAGAGGUUUCAAUUCGGUGAGUUUUAAAAUUCCAAAUUUAAAUUGAAUGUAGAUUGAAUAAGUCUUUCGCUCUUUGAUUCCAAAUUACAAUCGAAGUGAUCUUUUUGUUCUCUUUUUGAUCUGUUAAGUCCACUAUUUGUGUGUGUGUGUGUGUGUCGUGAGUAGCUCAAGUACGUGUCUUGUUUUUUUUUUUUAGUUAUAGGGUUUGUCUUCUGUAAAUCUUUUUAGCUAAAGCCAUCCACAUAUCGCCAUUGGAAAUAUUUCAAUUGCAUGUAGAUUGAUUAAGUCUUCUAUCUCUUUGAUUCAUGUUAAUGUAUAUGUGUUUGUGUUGGAAUUCAUUGAUUUAAACAGAGUUUAUGAAGAUUGUUUCAGAGAAUUGUUGUUUCGGGCUUCACAUGUUGCUUUAUUUUUGGUUCUGUUCUUUGAAAUUUGUGUUACUCGUUUAGAGAUUUCAAUUUUUGUUUGUUGUAAAACUCCAAAUUUUAAUUGCUAAUUAAUUUAUUAAGUCCUCUAGCUCUUUGAAUCACCUUUGUGUAUAAUCGUGUAGAUGUCUCCAUUUAGUGAGAUAUACAUGUCUCAAUUUUAAUUGCAUGUAGUUUUAUAAGUUCUUUCGAUUCGGGUUAGUGUAUGUAUUUGUAUGUGUUAUAUAUUUAUAAGAGAAAUAAGUUCUGAAACUUAACAAAUCAGUUCUGGAUAUUUCUCUUAGUUUAGUUUAGGAGAGCACUUUCAGUUUAACUUGAAAAUAUCUGCAUAGCAAACUAAUUAGUCACUUUCAUGACUGAUUACGUAUUCAAUUCUAUAAAUACUAACUUGUUUUUAAAAAUAAUUGUAUUGCAGGAAAUAGAUGCAGUACUGUACUUACAUCCGGAGUCCACAUCUUUACGCCGACUGAAUUCAGCUCGUGCUAAUUAAUUAAUUAAUUAAGCAUUUUUUGAAAGUAAGUUUAUUGAGUUCGUCUCUAAUAUCUCCUUUUAGCUCGAGCAAGAUGAUUUUUUGUUCUCCACUCCUUCU